GUGUGUGUGUGUGUACAGAGACCUGCAGUGUGUGUGUGUGUGUGUGUGUGUGUGUGUGUGUGUGUGUGUGUGUGUACCUGCAGUGUGUGUGUGUGUGUGUGUGUGUGUGUACAGAGACCUGCAGUGUGUGUGUGUGUGUGUGUGUGCAGACCUGCAGUGUGUGUCUUUCAGUGUGCACCUUCCAGACAACCGGACCAGAUGGACGUCACACUCGCACACUUUGGACUUUAAUGCUGUUACACUUGACGUCCUUGAGACUUGAACCACCACUCAAGAUCUCAAGUUUCCAGACAAAAAUCAGCGACAGCCUGAAAAGGCGCCGGUGGCCGAGCGUCUUUCUGCCUUCAGAGGAUUUAGUGUCAACUUUGCGAAGAAGGAGCGCGACUAACGCAGCUUUCGGAAAGGAACGUCAUCGCUGAAUACUCGAUCGCGAUUCGUCAAUGACGGCAUUCUACGCUCUGUUGUCUCCGUCGUCAUGGACACCGCUCUGAUCCCGUACCUGCCGAAGAGAAGCUACAAAACUAGACCUGUUAUUCUUUAAAAGCCAUAUUUCAUUCCUGCUGACACGGCGCCUUCAGGGUCCCGCAGGACUCUCAUUUCGACUUUGUGUCGACGUGGACUCCCCCCCCCCCUCCCCCCCGAGGGGCUGACGUGACCCCCGCCUACCCGUGUGCAGAUUCCCCGGGUCACAGCCAGACGAACUCCCCCCCCCCCCCCCCCCCCCUCCUCUGCCGUCUCAUGUAAAAGCUCCAGGGUUACAGCAGACGUGUUGUGAUCGUGUGCGCCUCAUUGCCUUCCCUGCUGGGAGCCAUCGCAGCCUAUCAUGCAUCCACGAAGCUGUGUGUGUGUGUGUGUGUGUGUGUGGGGGGGGGGCUGUGAUUUCACCAGCGCGGUGCGCAGACACGGUGAAAUACGGCCUCUCUUGUGUCGAUACGUUCGGGUCGUAUGACGAGACGAAGCGCUCUUUCAUCCUCGUCAACGGAAUAAAACAAACCUGGAUCUGAAGUUUACAGUCGUGAAAAUGUUCUUGUUGACAAACCGGUUGGCAGCUGCGAACUGAUGACCUAAUAGCUCCUGAUCAUUUGAGGCUCAAUAAGUCAGGAAGAUGUUGAGAUCUUUAACCCGCACGUGUCCUCCUGCAUGAGGUGAAGUGGGCCUCGUAGCCCACGGGCAGCGUCUCUGUGCCUGGGGGGGCAUCUCCAGUCCACAGAUGGACGAGCAGUGGGGAUAAGAUGACUGCCGUCCGCUGGCAGAUGGUACGAGUUCCCCUCAGCCGAGAGUUGUGACUCCAGCUCUCGGCCUGUGUGUGUGUGUGUGUGUGUGUGUGUGUGUGUGGGGGGGGGGGGGGGGGGGGGGGUGCAGAUUAAUGUGUGUAUCUGUUUCAGGGUCAGAAAUUAGCAGGUGCUGAGGACAAAAGUGCCCUUGAUAGUCAACAUUGCACACGUUGCCGUUCUGGCCGACGUAACAUUUCUAAAUUAUUGAUCGGUUCUCGCUGAACUGUGAGAGAAAAAAAGCACAUUUACACUUAUGAGCUGUUAAAGAAAUGAAGUAUAUGUCUCAGCGUAUAUAUAAUAUACAAGAAGCGCCGUAUUGUCUCAGCCAACCAGCUUCCACUUAUUACACUUAAUAAAUAUACUUAUAACUGUGUGUGCAGCCGCAGUAGUUUGUGAAUCAGGGCCACGGAUUGUUUUGUGAGGACAAAGUGACCGUGACCUUUGACCUUUGCUCUGUGUUAUUCUUAUCCCCUCUGUAUUUACCGACCCCCCCUGUGUGUGUGUGUGUGUGUGUGUGUGUGUGUGUGUGUGUGUGUGUGUGUGUGUCUGCAGUUAAGUGAAUGUUGUGUCUGUGGAGGCAGAUUACGAGAGGAACGUGGCAGAAGAAAAGAAAAGAACGGUAGAAAUUAAAGGAUAGAGUGUGUGUGUGGAAA
This is a long non-coding RNA of Gasterosteus aculeatus aculeatus (three-spined stickleback), 1927 nucleotides long. Lineage: Eukaryota; Metazoa; Chordata; Actinopteri; Perciformes; Gasterosteidae. The record is from Ensembl.